This 251-nucleotide ribosomal RNA is filed under the name uncultured Rhizophagus. RNAcentral's name for it is "partial 18S ribosomal RNA". Lineage: Eukaryota; Fungi; Glomeromycota; Glomeromycetes; Glomerales; Glomeraceae. The record is from RNAcentral.
CCCAACUAUCCCUAUUAAUCAUUACGUCAAUCCUAGAAACCAACAAAAUAGGAUCGAUCGUCCUAUUUCAUUAUUCCAUGCUAAUGUAUUCAAGCGUUAGCCUGCUUUAAACACUCUAAUUUUUUCAAAGUAACAGUCCAGUUUCCCCGCAACACCAAAUUAAUGGCAUUACGGUUCAUCAGGAAGGAGGAAUCAGUAAGACCAGUGCAUACCUGUGGCACGACCAGCCUACUAACCCCGAAAUUCAACUA